AAUGACUUCCUUGAGAGUCCUGUUCCCCUUUCACCAAUGCACAGACCCAGAAGACCCCUCCGUCCUGCAGGAUCGGCCAUGAGCAUCGGCCUCCUGUGCUGUGCAGCCUUUUUUCUCCUGUGGGCAGGUCCAGUGAAUGCCGGUGUCACUCAGACCCCAAAAUUCCAUGUCCUGAAGACAGGACAGAGCAUGACACUGCAGUGUGCCCAGGAUAUGAACCAUGACUACAUGUCCUGGUAUCGACAAGACCCAGGCAUGGGGCUGAGGCUGAUUCAUUACUCAGCUGGUGCUGGUAUCACUGACAAAGGAGAAGUCCCCAAUGGCUACAAUGUCUCCAGAUUAAACACGGAGGAUUUCCAGCUCAGACUGGAGUCAGCUGCUCCCUCCCAGACAUCUGUGUACUUCUGUGCCAGCAGUUACUCCACAGCGCUGCAAGGCUGUCUCCUCUCUGCACAUAAAGACAGGGAGUCUCUGCCCUCCUCCCUCACCCAAGAUUCAGCGAUGCCCUGGGCAGAGUUUUCUACACCAGUAUCCUUGGAACCCCAAGUGGCCCCAAGUGACCCGGACAGGGCACUGUUGGUGCAUCCUACAGGACAUGCCCAGCAGACAGAAGAGCAGCUGUGGGGUGGCAAGAUGAACUCAGAGAUGCAGCCUGAGGCCUCCGGGUCCAGACAGCUCUGGAGCCCAGAGCAAUGA
Non-coding RNA from Pongo pygmaeus (Bornean orangutan), 696 nucleotides. The record is from the annotation of a RefSeq genome assembly. Lineage: Eukaryota; Metazoa; Chordata; Mammalia; Primates; Hominidae.